Macaca mulatta (Rhesus monkey) is the source of this 605-nucleotide non-coding RNA. The record is from RefSeq and is a predicted model, not a curated record. NCBI's taxonomy places the organism in Eukaryota, Metazoa, Chordata, Mammalia, Primates, Cercopithecidae.
GAGGAAGAAGCAGCAGUCUUCAUUCCUAUACCUCCCUUUUGAAGCUUGAGGAAUAGAGGACUCCUUUUUAAACACAGAGGAAAUGGGCGAAGAUGGGAAGAAAACAGAUCCCUUCUCUGUCAUCGUGCUCAGCUUCAGUAAAUCAGGAUUUUAUUUUAGAGAAGAAAUGGUAACUGGCAAAACAAAAUGCUUGUCUGGGAAUGUUGAGUUAUGUCUAAGCAAGGAGUUGAAAAAUACCUAAUGAAUCCUAAACUAUUAACAAUGACCUUAAAAAAAAAAAAAAAAAAAACUAAUAUGAAACAUGGGAAGAACUCGACCAGAUUUUUUGCGCAUUUUCACAAGCUCAGGAUCAAAAUAAAGGAAAGGAGGUGAGCAAGAAGGAAGCCUUUUCCCUAAUUCCAGAAGCCUCCAAGGGACAUUUCGUGCAUGAUCCUAUCAUUGUACUUAACAGACCACAUUAUAAUUUUUGUUUGUGUAUCACUUCUCAUCAGUAUGACAGCUUCCCAAGAGCAGAGACUAUUUUAUUCAUCAUUUUCAUCUCCAGUGCCUGGCACCCUAUAUAACAGUAAUGACACUCAAUAAAAGAUUACAAAAUAAUGGAUGAA